This 107-nucleotide non-coding RNA is filed under the name Plasmid pWQ799. The record is from RNAcentral.
ACAGUUUUGGUAUCUGCGGUCUCGUAUACCCAGCUACCACUCCAGUUAGAAGAGGUCGAAGACUUCUAACUGGACGAAUCAACCCGCCAUCAGGCGGGUUUUUUCGU